RNAcentral lists this ribosomal RNA (393 nucleotides) under uncultured bacterium. RNAcentral describes it as "partial 16S ribosomal RNA". It matches the Rfam family "Bacterial small subunit ribosomal RNA", at positions 523 to 918 of the family's 1533-position model. The record is from RNAcentral.
AUACGGAGGAUGCGAGCGUUAUCCGGAUUUAUUGGGUUUAAAGGGUGCGUAGGCUGUGCGUUAAGUCAGGGGUGAAAUGCCGUCGCUCAACGACGGAGCUGCCCUUGAUACUGGCGUGCUGGAGUACGGAUGCCGUUGGAGGAAUGAGUGGUGUAGCGGUGAAAUGCUUAGAUAUCACUCAGAACACCGAUUGCGAAGGCAUCUGACGAAUCCGUCACUGACGCUGAGGCACGAAAGCGUGGGGAUAGAACAGGAUUAGAUACCCUGGUAUUCCACGCCGUAAACGAUGAUGACUAACCGUCGGCGAUAGACAGCCGGUGGCCAAGCGAAAGCGAUAAGUCAUCCACCUGGGGUGUACGUCGGCAACGAUGAAACUCAAAGGAAUUGGCGGGG